AUGGAGUUAGUUUAAUUUGUAGAGGACUGAAAAUCCUCGUGUCGGUGGUUCGAUUCCGCCUCUGGGCACCA
This 71-nucleotide transfer RNA is filed under the name Acetobacterium fimetarium. RNAcentral describes it as "tRNA-OTHER". Lineage: Bacteria; Bacillati; Bacillota; Clostridia; Eubacteriales; Eubacteriaceae. The record is from RNAcentral.